GUAAAAUUAGUUUAAUAAAAAUAUCAAGUUGUGGCCUUGAAGACAAGCCAAAGGCUUAUUUAACC
This 65-nucleotide transfer RNA is filed under the name Solemya elarraichensis. RNAcentral's name for it is "tRNA-His". The record is from RNAcentral. Lineage: Eukaryota; Metazoa; Mollusca; Bivalvia; Solemyida; Solemyidae.